Molecule: transfer RNA, 73 nt
Filed under: Trichonephila inaurata madagascariensis
Lineage: Eukaryota; Metazoa; Arthropoda; Arachnida; Araneae; Nephilidae
Rfam family: tRNA
About the family: Transfer RNA (tRNA) molecules are approximately 80 nucleotides in length. Their secondary structure includes four short double-helical elements and three loops (D, anti-codon, and T loops).
Source: Rfam by way of RNAcentral
GUCCCUGUAGCGCAAUGGAGACCGCGUUGGACUUCUAAUUCAAAGGUCGUGGGUUCGAAUCCCACCUGGGAUG